AACCUUAAGUUUAUCUUGUUACAUUUUGAAGCCUUGUCGGGGUUGAAGAUUAACUUUUCUAAAAGUGAGGUGAUUGUGACUAGGGCUAAUGUGACUUGACCAAAAAUCUACCAGAAGCGACAUGGGGCCAAGUCACCAAGCCCUCCCCCUCCGAGAGAAUAGGGAACAAGACAGCAAGCUAGUGCCAGUUCGCCAACUCUGCAGGAGAGAGAGUUCUCCAAAGACCCAGAUCCCAGCCAUUGUGAGAGAGCUCAGAGAUUGAGAUCCCAGGCUCCGGACAGUAAAAUAAUAGUACCAGAAAAGAGGACGCUAAAGGUGCGUCCCCCAGUCUACCAAUCCAACCAGAAGCGGGUCGAAGCACCAUUCCUGACGAGGAACUUAACAUGAUCACGCAAAACGUCACUGGCCCUAAUAAGAUCCCUCCAAAACCGAGACCCAUUGGACGUCGUCGUCAUUGGUACGAACAACUAGAUCUGAUGUGCGCCGCUACCCUUUCCACAUUCGCUCUCUUGUGAGAUCCCAACCUCCUCCCCCUCUUUCAAUCUCCUUUGCCGCGACUGUGGCCACGGACAAAUCUCUGGCAUCGUCCUCGGAUGCGUUGUUAGGGCGCAAGCAUGGUCGGGAGGAUUCGUUGGAGGCGGGUCCGGCUUCGGAUCUUGAGUAUGAGGCGGCUCUAUGCGAGAAGCUGGAGGCAGAGCAGGCCUCUCGGGAGCAGGUGGAGCGCGACCGGGCAGCGUGGGCGGCGGGGCCGGCAUGGUUGCAGCGCGAGGAGCAGGCGCGUGAGGAGGAGGCGGCUAAGGCUGCGGCCAUGGAUCCCUGGGAGGUCGCGAUGUCGGGCUCGUCGGCGGCUACGGUGAUCCCUCGCCUUGUGCCUCCUCGCGGCCCGGCUGACCAGGUGUUGGCGGGGGGCCGUGCUGGUGGUGCCGGAUCUGGGGCUGCAGGGCUUGGCCACGGUGUUGCUGAUGGUCGGGGUGGAGGAUUCGGUAACGCCUCCUUCCCCUCCAAGUCUCGCCGGACCUCGCCUCUAGAGCCGGGGUCCUCCUCGAUGGUGGCCAGCGAUGGUAUCCCUCUCCCCCGCCUCCGCUACCUCCGGGAUUUGCUCCCUCUCGCGUUGGGGGUCCGGCCUCUGGUGGUGGCUCUGGCUCUGGUUCGACUACUUUGACGCGUUUUGCGUGCCAUCGUGCGGGUCACUUCCAGUCAAGAUGCAAGUUUCCUCCUUUCAGCUUUAUAUGUCGCUCAGAGGGCCAUCUCACUAUGUAUUGGGAUAACCGUACCCAAUUCCCAGCCUUUAAAUAGUUCGGUCUUGGCCUACCUUCCUGUUCUUUCUUCACUGUUGAUGGGGAUCACGGGAUGCCUGUCGUUACUCCCGUGUCUUCCAACGCUGUGGUGAUCUUUGUCAUUUCCAAUCCUGUUUCCAGUCAAGUUAUUUUUUAUGAGCUCAGGGAGUGGGGCCUGGAGGGCUGGAAUUGGCAGAUCAACCAGAUCUCGGAGAGAGAAUUUUCAGUUACUUUUCCCACGAAUGAAAUAUUAAAGAUACUGGCCUCGUGAUCGAGUUUCACCCUUCCCCUUAACUAGGUGAUGGUCUCUGUGAAGGCGGCUGCUGAUGGGGCUAAAGCAGUGGCUUCUCUGUCUGGAAACUUGGGUGAUCCUCGAUGAUGUUCUGUUUGGACUCCGAAAUGUUUGUUUUCUGAUGGCUUUGGGAGUGCUUAUUGGCAAGACUGUUGUUGUUGUUGUUGUUGAUGAGGCCUCUAUUGAACCUCCUGGCCCAAUCCGCAUGAACAUUUGGUGUCUGAAUCUGUCCCGUGUAUAAAGUAUGAUCGAUGUAUUCCCCGCUUCGGACACUUAUUGCAUCUGUGACCGCACUAAGGGUAUGGCGGCCCAGCAGGCGCCUCCUCCUCCCCCUGCUCCUAAGCCAUCCAACCCGGAUCCUUCUGACAGUGGGGGCGAGACGGGCACAGGCAGCAAUGCCAAUCCUUUCACCUCGUCGGAAUGGGAAGCUAUGGGAUCUGAAACUCGUGGUCUGUUUGACUUUGGUCCCUCUUGCAAUGGUGGUGGGGGCGCUCCCAAGGAGGGUGCUCGCAAUGUGGAGGCCAUGGAUGUCGAGGCCCUUAGAGGGGCUACGCCCCUCUCCGGGGCGUGCUCCACCAUCAUUGAGGCUGUUGCUCGACCUGCCUCCCCAUCUCUGUCUAGAAUUGUGGAUGUGCCUCCGAAAGUUUCGGUCCCUCCUUCUAGCCCAUGCAGCAAGAAGCAGAAUAAGAAAUCAUCAGUGCGUAAGUUCUCGGCCAAGAGCGGGGCAUCUCCGGGGAGUAUGCGAUAGGGGGCAAGUAUGUGCCAUCAUCUGGAUGAUGACCUGGGUGCGGCUGCCGGUUCUGAGCUACCCGGGGGCGAUACCUCUUCCCCCCGGCCCGCUCCUCAGCGGCUCCGGUCCGUUCUCCUGCCUCCACGGCUCGAAAGGGUUUCCGCCGCCAUAGCAAUGUGGUGCCCGUCCAGGAGCUGGCUGAGCAUAGGGCGGCGGCCAAGGAUCUUUGCCCCCCAGAAGUGGAAAUUAUUGACUAAGCCAGCGGAUGUGGACGGUUUCGAGGAGCUGAUCAACAAAGUUCGGGCGUCGGCAAGCUUAAUGUCCUCUCAUGCCUCCGUUUGACCAUCAUAGUCUUGGGUUCUCCUUCUCUAGCAGUAGGUUGUUGGCCUGCGUGCCAGUUUAUGCUUGUAUUGGGCCUGUGCGCCUUUGUACUUUCGUUUGUGAUGAGCUGUGCCUCGUGGCCUGCGGUCUUUGGGUCCCCAUGGUUGGUGUUUGGUGAACUCGUGGUUGCGUUUUGUGGUACUCUGUCUUGUGGCUUUAUUUAUAAAGUCGGGCUCUCGCCUUUUCUUUAAAA
Molecule: long non-coding RNA, 2873 nt
Organism: Triticum aestivum (bread wheat)
Lineage: Eukaryota; Viridiplantae; Streptophyta; Magnoliopsida; Poales; Poaceae
Exons: 2
Source: RefSeq, a predicted model, not a curated record